Molecule: non-coding RNA, 70 nt
Organism: Phrynosoma platyrhinos (Desert horned lizard)
Lineage: Eukaryota; Metazoa; Chordata; Lepidosauria; Squamata; Phrynosomatidae
Source: the annotation of a GenBank genome assembly
GCCAGCAUGGUGUAAUGGUUUGAGUGUUGGACUAUGGCUCUGGAGACCAGGGUUCAAUUCCCAUUUGGCC